Long non-coding RNA from Brassica rapa (field mustard), 9210 nucleotides. RefSeq lists it as uncharacterized. NCBI's taxonomy places the organism in Eukaryota, Viridiplantae, Streptophyta, Magnoliopsida, Brassicales, Brassicaceae. The record is from RefSeq and is a predicted model, not a curated record.
UGGUGUGCAGGCAAUAGGCAUACAUCACCACUUUGUUCUUUAUGGUCUGAUGGAGUAUCUGGGCAGAAGCUUUGACCGACAGUUCCUGGCGGAUGAGGUUCUGCAUCUACUGGAUGAGAUGCUGGUGAGUAAUCCUUGAAGCCAAGAUUUGACUAUUGUGAUGCUAUAUAGCUAUGGCUUCUAAUCUGGCUGCUAUUAGAAUCCUGCUGUGAAUCUCUGAUGGUUUAAUCUGUUGCCUCUGGAUUUUUAUCAGAAAUCAGAUGACAUUGACAUUCUUAACCACUAGAAAGACUUUACCUUGCCUCAGAGUUUCUUUGAUAUGGAAGAACAGUGACAAAAGAAGAAGUGUUCUUUGCUUCCUUUCCACGCCUCUUUCUGUAUAUGGUUGGUUAGGUUUGUCCCCAGCUCUUAAGAUAAGUCCUCUUGUAUAUUCUUCAGUAUUAAUAUAGAACCAUCGGAGCACUACUGAUCUUUUUAACUCUGUCAAAUAGUUUAAUAGAAACAAGCUUUUUGUUCUCUUUUCAUGAUGUCAUUUAGAUCGGUUGUGUUUGUUUAUUUCGAUGGAUGGAAAAUUUUAACUAUGCAGCUGAUUGGUCUGUAUAUUGGAAAUGUAAAAUGUAUCUGAUCAAAUCAAAUAACAUAAAUAGGAUAUUUGAUAUCAUGAGAUUGACAACAAAAGAAAGAACGAAAAAUGUAAUUUGAAAAAAAAACAGUAUAGGAUUGAAUUCAAUUGUCUCUUAUCUCAUCUUCCUUCUGAUGAAACCAAGCUAUGCAACUUAAUAGAAAUGCCUUAUUCAACUUCCAAAGCCUUUGAUCAGUUCUGAAAAAAAAAAAAAACUACAUGAUCUUUUGACCCAAACAAGAACAGUUCAUACUCAUUAUUACAUGUUGAUUACCUCAGUGGCUUCUGCAGACUUAGCCUCUUCUUUCUUGGGUUCAUCGGUCUUGAUGUUUUCUCCUGAAAAUAAAUCAAGAUCCAUUAUUAAACCAUCUCCAUAGUAGGUAAAACGAACACAUAGUCUCUACUAAGGAAUACACUCACACACCUCCACUUCUCUUUCAACUUAUGGUAUUUUCUUCUCAUGAGUGUAUAUGAGCAAUACAAUUGAAAAUCAUAUAAGCUAAUUAUUGUCAAUGACCCCGCGCUUACGCGGGGCCAAGCUCCUAGUUAAAUAAUAAGGAGACAGUGAGUGGAAAUCAGUGCGGUAAAAAAGACGUCACUUUGUAUUUAUAGUUUAAAUUUCGGUGCGGUAAAAAAGAAAAAUUCCGUGUUUCAUUUGCUUUUCUUUUCAAAGCCUUUCAUUUCAUUUGUUUAAGAUCAGUUAAUACAAAACCAUGAUUGCUUAAUAACUAUCGCAAGCGACCUUUGAUUUUUGAAGAGUUGCAUCUUUCCAUAACCUUAACCAUUGUACUUUUUUCACAACAUAAAAGUUGUAUCUUCUCUAAGAUUCUACUAUCAAACCUCUUCAAAAUAGGAACUGUUAACAAAUUUAUAUAUGUUCUGUUUUUCCAUUACGUGACCAUUUUUUAUUUAUUUAUUUUGAUGUACGUGCGAAGUUAGUUAGAAAAAUAUCGUCUUCCUCAAAACUUCAUUCUUUAUUUUUGUUAUACUUACCUAUAGAGAAUAAAGUCUCCAAUUGGAAGUGCUCAUCCGUUUCUGUGUUGUUUCAUAUUAAAAAAGUACAUGUCUACACUGAAUAAUUUAUUACAUAAAUAAGUUUAUAACUGGAAUAUAUUGCAUAAUUUAGAAAAGUAGUUCGUAAACCAAAAAUAUUGUUGUGCUAAUAUGUCAUUAUAGAUCAGAAUCGGUUGAAUUGUUUGUUUGUGCGUAGAUGUUACAAUUAUAUUUCCAUAUAUAUAUAUAUAUAUAUAUAUAUAUUGUAUUCAAAAUAUGGUAAUGUAUUCUGAGAUAUAGUAGUCUAAAGUUGUGGCCGUUAAAUAUUUUCAUUAAUAAAAGUUCUAGGCGGAUAAAUUGUGUGUCUAUGUUUCAGUUAGAAAUAGUGUAUCACACAUAUACUGUAUAUAGUAAGAUUCGUAUAUAUUUAGAAGUAUAACAAUUGAAUCCUUUUGAUUUUAGAAGAGUUAUAUUUCUGCCUAAUUUUAACCAUUGUACCUUUUUCACAACAUAAAAGUUGUAUUUUUUCAAAUGUUCUACCAUCAAACCUUUUCAACGUAAAAAUUUAUAUAUAUUCUGUUGUUCCUUUCCUUGACCAUUUUUUAUUUGGCUGUAUGUGUGAAGUUAAUUAAUAUAUAAUAAAUAGUCAAUUUCAAUGAGUUUUUUUAUGCAAAUUUUUCACAAUUUUAUUUUUUUUUAAAAGUGAAAGAAGAAAAGUUAUCUGGUUAAGAUUUUUUUUUUCGGUAAACAAUCAGAAUUUUAUUAAUAUCAAUCGGCCAUGAAGGCUUUAAAACAUAGUUUUAAACUAAAAAGUGUGCUUUUUGGUUACUUUUGUCAGAAGAAGAAAACCAAUGUGCGUUGUAAAAAGCAACAGACAAACUCUAGACAUUGACGAAUUGAGAAACAAAUGUCAAUACCAGAACAAAACUCUUUCACAUGGAGAGACAUAUAACGCCCAUGAAGUCACGAACGCAUAAAAAACUCGGGUUUUCUUUUUUAAUGAGAUCAUGAUGGAGAUAAAAGGAACAACCAUGACUUAUAAUGGGAAGACUGAAGCACUUUACGGAAUGGACGUGAAUCAAAACAAACAUUAUCACCAAAUUAAUGAAUUUAAUGAUGCUAUGGUUAUGGAACUAACUGUAAGAAGGAAGUUAGAAUAAAAAUGAAAGGGUGUGAGAAAUGAUUGCAAGAAAAGUUUAAUGUCGAGACAUUUCACUGAUUUUUUUUGUGAGAAUAAAGAGAUACAAAAGUGAAGAGACAAAAAAAAAAAAAAAACUAAAAUGCAGUGACCGACACGUCGGCCGGAAAAUUCAGGAAGGAAGGGUCAUCUUUAAACUAAUUGGUGUUAUUGAAUUGGGUAAUUUAAUAGAAUUGAGUGGAAUUUAAAUUCAUACCUAAAUCUAGUGUUAUUGGAUUGAGUAUUUGGUAAAUAGAAUUCAAAUCCAUUGAAAACCCCUGUUAUUCAAUAUUUUUUAGAAUUCAGUUAUGGUGAAUUUUAAUGGAAUUCAAUGGAUCUUUUUAACUAAAACAAAUCCUACCUUUUUUAUUAAUAUAUUGAAGGAAACGUGACUUGGAUAUAUUUCCAUCAAAUACUUGCAUACUUAAAUUCCAAUACUUAUUCCAAUUACCCAAUUCAAUAACACCCCCUAAAUAUUGCCAACAAAGAAUUGUAGGAAGGGUCAUCUUUAAAUUAAAUGUUGCCAACAGAGGUUAUAGGUUGUGUUUUCAUCUUUAAAUUAUGUUUUUACAUCUUAAAAGUUACAUUGAUUUUAAAAAGUCAAAAUAUAGGCCUUUUAAAAAAAUUCAAAAUAUAUAAGUAUGUAUCAUUUCAUCUAAUAACGUGUCUUAUAAUUUUAAUAAUUAUGUUUUUGAAAAAUUGUUUAAAUUUCUGAGAAUGUGUCUCUUUAUUCUAACAAUUGCAUUUGUUAACAAGAAAAUGUUUAAAUGUUUAAAAAUGUAUUUUUUUUUAUAAUGACGUGUGUUUUCUUCUUAAAAUGCAAUAGUUUUUAAUCAGUUGUGAAUCUGUGUAGAGAAAGGUUUUUCUAAGAUAAUCACAUGAAUUAAUAGAUAAUUAUAGGAAAUUUUUUAAGUAGUUUAUAUAAUUUAUCUCUAGGUUUGCUUCUGUUUUUACGAGAGUGUGAAAUGAUUUAAAAUAUGUAUUUUAUCAUAAAAAUUAUUUUUUAAAGAGGUUUAUUUAAAAUGUUUUAGAAUGUCUCUUUUUAUAAGGAUGUGUCUUUCUGUCUUUAAAAAUGAAUAGUUUCUAAAGGUUUUAAAAUGUCUAUAUAUAUAUCUAAUUAUCCUAUAAAUUGUGUAGGUUAUUAUGAGUUAUUUCUUGUCUAACAUGUGUACGUUCAUUAUAAAAAUUGCUUUGGUAUUCAAGCAGUUGAAAAUUGUAUUACGUUUUCAUAUAUGCAUAAGUCUUAUCAUCCUACAACGUGUCUUUUCAUACUAAAAAUUAUGUGUCUAUAAAUGUGUCUUUUCAUCCUAACAAUAUGUUUUUCAUGUGAUUUUUCAUCUUAAUAAAUAUAGGUAAAAAUAUUUUGUGCAUCAUUUUGUUAUAUGUGCUAUUUUUUAGUGAAUCACUAUUACACGUAAAUUGGAGAGGAUUAUUAGCAAUUUAAGUAAAUUUUUACAUCAGUUUAAGUUAAUCAUUAUAAGUGUUUGGUGGAACAGUUACAACUUCUUAAAUGAAACAUUGCCUGUUGGUGUUGGUGGAUUUAAUUUUUAGUGAUGAACCAUUGCAAUUGUUGUUGAUUGUAGUCUUUUGGUGAUAAAUCAUUGCAACUUUUGGUGUUAACCAACCAUUGCAACCCUUAAUCCUCUUUAUACGGUGUUGUUGGCAAUGAUAAAUCACAACAGUCACAUAUAGACUAAAAAUUAGAGAUGCUUCGUCUAAAAUUUAUCAAAAAUAAUGAUAUGUUUUUAUUUCUCUUAUUCAUUUAAAAUAUUUGUAUUGAUAUGUUUUUGGUUAUUUUCUUACUUUUACUUAUACUAUACAUUUUUAAAAUAUCUCAAAAGCUUAUGGAUAUGUUUUUUUUCUCUUUUGUGACAAAUAAGCUUCUUUGAAAACAAAAAUGAGAUACUUUGUAUAAAAUUAUAAAUUAUACAGUGGUAAAUAUUUUUUUAAAUAAAAUGAGUUCAUGAUAAUAACUUAAAACAUGCAUAAAAUUUUCAAUGUAUUUUCAAUGUGUGUUUGCUUUUACGAAUUUGUUAAAUUCUUUUAGUUGCGGUGAAUUUUCAUAUAACAAUUGAAAUAGUUUAUGAAUAUUUAUUUUGUUAAUUAUCAAUUUUAUCUAUAUUUAAUCAAAUUUUAUUUUAUUUUACAUGCAAAAGAUGCAUUUGUUUAUUCAAUGAUUUUUUUUCUGUUAAAUACUCGAAACAUGAUAGAAUACAUUUUAGGACCAAAAUAGGUUGAAUAAUUUUUGAUACAUUUAUAAAGUUUUCUACUGCAAUAUUUGAAUAUUUAUUUUUAUAAAAUGAGUUCCCGUGCGACAUCGCACGGGUUUCUUACCUAGUCCUUAUAUGAUUAAACAAAUACAAUAUAUCCCUCACUAAUCUCAAUACCCUUCAUCUUUUAAUGAAAAUAUGAAAACCCGAUUUUACCCUUAUUCAUUUACAAAAUUCUUCUUUUUAACUAUAAUAAUUUUCAAAUUUUCAAAUUUUAUAAAAAUAUGUCUCCAAGACCAAAAAUCCAAUAAAUAUUAUAAAAUUGAAAUAAAUUCAAUAAAAUUAUAAAAAGAAAGUGUCAACAGAAAAUGCAAUAAAAUAAUCUCCAAAGCAUGAAUCCGAUAUGAAUCACUCUUGCUUGUCCAUUUCACCUAAAAAGGAGAAGGAGGGCAAGUAACAUGGGAGUCACUCUGUGAGAUAUGGAUGCUAAACACACAAACCAUUGACUUAGAUAUGAAACUCUAAUCAUGGAGUCUAUCCCUAACACGAACACGCAUGUCGCCUAAUGCGUAGCAAAAAGACAGGAAAUACGCUGAUAGUACAUAUAUAGCUAGUCUCUGCAACCUAUGUUCUCCUCAUAUACAAACUUGUGUAUACACAAAGUAUGUGGGGGUGUAAAAGUCCCUCUCCACACAUCCAAAUUCCCUUCGUAUACAUCGCUAUGUAGUACAUAAAUCCCUCUUUGUACUUCUGCAGCUCAUAUGUGGUACAUAAGUCCCUCUAUGUACUCACGUAUGCUAAAAUAAGUGUAGUAAAAAAGUUCUUUCUUGUACUCCUACAUUCUCAUGCGUAGUAUAUAAGUCUCUCCUUGUACCCCUGCAAUCUACACACAAAGCAUCAGUCGUCACUAUGAACUUGUUGUUAUAGUCGGGUUGUAGGAAUGUUUUUUUUUAAUUAGUGGAGACAUAAAAAUAUGUGUAGCACCACUAUUAAUUAUCACAACGACACUUAAUUUCCAAAUAUUUCCUCUGAUCUUUGUUUUUGUUGGAGUAGACCAUCCCGAAAAUGAGUGUAAUGAUAACUCCAUCACUUCUGUUAUAUCUCGUUGACCAUUCUCUUGGGCAUCAUGAAAGUCUUCCUCAUGCAUUUCCAUAUCACAUCUCUUAGCCAUAAUCAUGACUUGCAAUUGUUUGUUCUUACUAACAUGUGUCUUAGACCAUUUAUCUGGACAUUUAAAACAAAGACCAUUCCAUCUCUUGAAGUCACAUCAGAGAACCUUAAUUGACUGCAUGAUCUUGUUGCUUAUUAGGCCAAGUUUUAUCCCAUGGUUUUGGUUGUACUUCCGAUAGUGGUUGUCUAGACUUCCAUCCUUGUGAAUUUCCCACAGGUACUGUACAAAGAGAUUGACCUGCAGCUUUGCUUUGGUUACAAACAUCCUGACUCUUCAUCGAAGUAAACAUCCUACUAAUUCAUCAAUGUCCUCUAUCUUGAUAACAACUGCGAUGUGUCCUGUUAAGGUAUGAGGUUCUUUGGUUUUAAUAAUCUCUUUCAUUUAUUUCUUCAGUUUAUUAAAGAAAAUGUCAAUCAAGUGUUCUUCAUCCACUUUUACCUGAGAAGCCAACUCUUGAAACUCUCAAAACAUAUUCAGAAAUUGUCACCAGUUAUUGUAUACCGAAAAAAUUCUUCCCUGGAGUUUUCUCAAACGAUUACAAACCUUGCUAACAUUCCUUUUUUGAACUCAUUCCAAUCCGCAAACGGUCUAUUUUCAGUCUCAUAAUUGUACCAGCUUAAGGUGUCUUCCUCUAAACUCAUUGAUACUAUAUCCAUUCGAGCUGACUGUUGUAAUGCAAAAUCUAAAAAUAUCUCUCAGCUAUUGCUAACCAACCAUACGGAUGUUGGAUAAUUCCAAGCUUGUAGAAACUUAACAUAUUAUUAGAUGUUAAGAUGUUAAGAUGUUAAGAUAAACAUAAUAAGGAAACCUAGAAAUAGAAAAAUGAAGUUUCUAUUUAGGUUAUGUUAGGUUUGUGUUUUUCAUAUUCCACAUGUUAAAGGGAAUUGUCUUUCAUAUAAAUAUAGGUCUAAUGGAAAGGUGUUCCAUAAGAUCAAUACGAUUAAAAUAAGAUCAAAGAGUGAAAUGUUGAGAGCUUUAGUUUUGAGUAGUUUCUAAAGCUAAUAAGAAAAGUUGUUCUUAUAAUUCUUUGUUUCCUAAGAGAUUUGAAUUGGUAUCAGAGCCUCAGGUUGGAGACUCGAUCUAAGCUUAAGUUGUAGCUUAAGAUCCUGGUGCUUGUGAACAAGAUAUCACGUAACGAAGAUGGAGGACGUGACAAGGGCUCCACGCACGAAGGACUUUGGAUCUACAUCCAUUCAAUGUCCGAUGUUGUCAUUGACAAACUACACAGUUUGGUCGAUGAGGAUGAAGGUUCUACUUUGUGUUCAUGAAGUGUGGGACACGAUCGAAUCCGGUUCAGAUGAUCAAAAGAAGAACGAAGUUGCGAUAGCUCUUUUGUUUCAAUCUGUUCCCGAGACUUUGAUUUUCCAGGUGGGAUAACAAACCGCAUCAAAAGAGAUCUGGAACUCCACCAAGUCGCGACACCUAGGAGCUGAUCGUGUAAGGGAGGCGAGACUUAAGACGUUGAUGAUGGAGUUCAAUAGGUUGAAGAUGGAUGAUUCAGAUACGGUCGAUGACUUCGCGGGAAAGAUAUCAGGCCUAUCAUCCAAAGAAACCUCUUUGGGAGAAACCAUAGAAGAAUCCAAGAUGGUCGAGAAGUUCUUGAAGGGUCUUCCGAGACACAAGUAUAUCCAGAUCGUAACAUCGCUUUAGAAAGUCCUAGACCUCAACUCGACGGGUUUCGAGGAUAUAGUUGGAAGGCUUAAGGCGUACGAGGAGCGUGUAGGAGAAGAAACUCAGAAAAAAAGACCAAGAGAAGCUGAUGUUUUCGAACAAUGAAGAGCAUAGUUAGAGGGGCUAUGAGAAUUCCCCUGGUAGAGGAAGAAGACAGAACGGUAGAGGCAGAGGUCGAGGUAGGUCACACAACCAAAACCUUGCGUCACACACCAAAGAUAACAACUCGAAGAAGAAUCGUUCAAAGCUGAUAUGUUGGAGAUGUGACAAGUCUGGUCACUACGCAAUUGUCUGUCACGAGAAGACAGAGAAGAAUCAAGAAACCAACCUAAACGAGACAGAAGAGGCCGAUGCACUGGUGUUCUUGAACAAAGAUAAGGUGAUUCCGAAGAAUCUUGAUAUCGACAAAGGCAAUUCAAGUGUCUGGUAUUUGGAUAAUGGAGCGAGCAAUCACAUGAUGGGAAACAAGGAGUUCUUUUCGAGUUUGAAUCUCAACACCAAAGGGAAGGUGAAGUUUGGUGAUGGAUCGUGUGUUGACAUUGUAGGAAAGGGUGUGGUUACUUUUGUGUGCAAGACUGGAGAGAAGAAGGCACUCAAAGACAUAUACUAGAUACCCGACCUAUUGAGUCUUGGGCAAGCAACAGAGAACAUAUGUGAGGUUAACAUGAAAGAUGUCUACUUAACGCUCACAGAUUCGCAUGGAAGGUUGCUAGUUCGUGUGACAAGAUCUCCAAACCGUCUCUACAAGACCUCUAUGAAGAUAUGCUACAUGGAGUGUUUACAUGCCAGAGACGUAGAUGCUACAUGGAGGUGGCAUGCUUGACUAGGACAUAUAAGCUAUGGAGUGAUGAACAACAUGGUAAGGAAGGAGAUGGUCGUAGGAAUGUCGUGUGUAACUAGUAAUGUCAAAUGGGUGGGCUAUAAAUGGGUGGCCCAUGUCCAAAUAGAUAUGGUCCGAAAUGGACAGGCCCAUAUUGAACCAUAAAUAUUUUUUGUCUAAAUGGGUGAACCCAACUACAUACAUGGCCAAAUUUGGGUUUAACCAGUUGGGCAAUGGGCGGCCCAAUAAGCUUAAAUGUCUAGCGUUAGGAAAUUGGGGGAAAACACGAUUUCCUUUUUUUUUUCCGUCUCCUACGAUUCUUCUUCUUCUCCUGUGAUUCUUCUUCUCCUUCUUCGAUUUUCCUUCUCCUUCUUCGAUUCUUCUUCGCUCUUCUUCGGUUCUUCUUCGCUCUUCUUCGAUUCUUCUUCGUUGUCUCUGAUUUCGUCAUCUCUCGAGGUAGUGGAAAAUCAUCUAGUUUGAAGCUGAUAUUGUUGUUGCUGUUGUUGCUGUUGCACCUCCCCUUCCCUAUUGCAUUUGAUUGACAAA